Long non-coding RNA from Neopelma chrysocephalum (saffron-crested tyrant-manakin), 240 nucleotides. RefSeq lists it as uncharacterized. NCBI's taxonomy places the organism in Eukaryota, Metazoa, Chordata, Aves, Passeriformes, Pipridae. The transcript is spliced from 3 exons. The record is from RefSeq and is a predicted model, not a curated record.
GACCUUGCUCUUCUCUUCCAGUUUUGAUGUAUGUGCAAGGCUGGGAUCAUUUUUAAGCCAUCCUUUUUAGAGGAUUGGAAAACAUCUUUUGGUUUUGCUUGUGUUUGAGUCACUGACUGAGAAGUUUGUGGACCUGUAUGGCCUUAUAGACCCUCAAGUUGAAAACCGCUGACCUGGACUAAUUCACAUCUAUCCUGCAUGGUGAAUAUAUUGUAUGAAACUUCUAAAAAUAAUUUAUGU